AUCUUCAGGGCGGGGUGCAAUUCCCCACCGGUGGUAUAGCCCACGAGCCGAAAGGCAUGACCCGGUGUGAUUCCGGGGCCGACAGUAUAGUCUGGAUGGAAGAAGAU
Molecule: non-coding RNA, 107 nt
Filed under: uncultured Lawsonibacter sp.
Lineage: Bacteria; Bacillati; Bacillota; Clostridia; Eubacteriales; Oscillospiraceae
Description: FMN riboswitch (RFN element)
Rfam family: FMN riboswitch aptamer (RFN element)
About the family: The RFN element is a highly conserved domain that is found frequently in the 5'-untranslated regions of prokaryotic mRNAs that encode for flavin mononucleotide (FMN) biosynthesis and transport proteins. This element is a metabolite-dependent riboswitch that directly binds FMN in the absence of proteins. In Bacillus subtilis, the riboswitch most likely controls gene expression by causing premature transcription termination within the 5' untranslated region of the ribDEAHT operon and precluding access to the ribosome-binding site of ypaA mRNA.
Source: RNAcentral